RNAcentral lists this transfer RNA (74 nucleotides) under Culex quinquefasciatus (southern house mosquito). Its description in RNAcentral is "tRNA-Thr". The record is from RNAcentral. Lineage: Eukaryota; Metazoa; Arthropoda; Insecta; Diptera; Culicidae.
GCAGUGCGUGGCCGAAUGGUUACGCUGUCCGCAUUGUAAGCGGAUGCUUCUGGGUUCGAUUCCCAUCUGCUGCA